GACGAACGCUGGCGGCGUGCUUAACACAUGCAAGUCGAACGGAAAGGCCCUGCUUGCAGGGUGCCCGAGUGGCGAACGGGUGAGUAACACGUGGGUGAUCUGCCCCUUACUUUGGGAUAAGCCUGGGAAACUGGGUCUAAUACUGGAUAGGACCAUGCUGUAGGUGGUGUGGUGGAAAGAUUAGUUUCGGUAAGGGAUGAGCUCGCGGCCUAUCAGCUUGUUGGUGGGGUAAUGGCCUACCAAGGCGUCGACGGGUAGCCGGCCUGAGAGGGUGGACGGCCACAUUGGGCCUGAGAUACGGCCCAGACUACUACGGGAGGCAGCAGUGGGGAAUAUUGCACAAUGCGAGGAAGCCUGAUGCAGCGACGCCGCGUGGGGGAUGACGGCCUUCGGGUUGUAAACUCCUUUCAGCCAUGACGAAGCCCUUGUGGUGACGGUAGUGGUAGAAGAAGCACCGGCUAACUACGUG
Molecule: ribosomal RNA, 469 nt
Filed under: uncultured bacterium
Lineage: Bacteria
Description: partial 16S ribosomal RNA
Rfam family: Bacterial small subunit ribosomal RNA
Source: RNAcentral